AUUGAACGCUGGCGGCAGGCCUAACACAUGCAAGUCGAGCGGAUGAAGGGAGCUUGCUCCUGGAUUCAGCGGCGGACGGGUGAGUAAUGCCUAGGAAUCUGCCUGGUAGUGGGGGAUAACGUCCGGAAACGGGCGCUAAUACCGCAUACGUCCUGAGGGAGAAAGUGGGGGAUCUUCGGACCUCACGCUAUCAGAUGAGCCUAGGUCGGAUUAGCUAGUUGGUGGGGUAAAGGCCUACCAAGGCGACGAUCCGUAACUGGUCUGAGAGGAUGAUCAGUCAAACUGGAACUGAGAAACGGUCCAGACUCCUACGGGAGGCAGCAGUGGGGAAUAUUGGACAAUGGGCGAAAGCCUGAUCCAGCCAUGCCGCGUGUGUGAAGAAGGUCUUCGGAUUGUAAAGCACUUUAAGUUGGGAGGAAGGGCAGUAAGUUAAUACCUUGCUGUUUUGACGUUACCAACAGAAUAAGCACCGGCUAACUUCGUG
RNAcentral lists this ribosomal RNA (484 nucleotides) under uncultured bacterium. RNAcentral describes it as "partial 16S ribosomal RNA". It matches the Rfam family "Bacterial small subunit ribosomal RNA", at positions 30 to 507 of the family's 1533-position model. The record is from RNAcentral.